UGCCGCAUGAUGUUUAGUGGCUACCUGGA
Molecule: non-coding RNA, 29 nt
Filed under: Mus musculus (house mouse)
Lineage: Eukaryota; Metazoa; Chordata; Mammalia; Rodentia; Muridae
Source: RNAcentral